This 6161-nucleotide long non-coding RNA is filed under the name Sorghum bicolor (sorghum). Its description in RNAcentral is "long non-coding RNA (SBIC_LNC016119)". The record is from RNAcentral. Lineage: Eukaryota; Viridiplantae; Streptophyta; Magnoliopsida; Poales; Poaceae.
GUACGGGCAAUCUUAUAAUGCGCAUCACUGAGAGUACCCCUUACUGGUACCCUCGACAAGAAGACUAGCACGCGGAGGACAUUCUAAUCACUGUCAGAAUGCUGCUGACUUUCAAAUACACCUCUGCCACCUGCUAGCUACAUCAAGAGAAAUUACAUCAAAAUUCAGCUUGGGAGAGAGCACCCCCAUUUAUCUCGCUAAGUAUUUCUACCUAUCUUUAUACUUAUAUUAUGUUAGAAUAUUAAAAUACAUAAACUAUGAAAAACCAAAUAAAAAUUUUGUGUUUAUAUAUAUAUAUAUAUCUUUUGCUUAGUGUGUUUAAUAAAUAAAUAAAGUGGCUAUGCUAAUCUGAAUCUUAAUAAUAAAACUCUAGCAUGGAUAUGAUGAAUAUUUGCUCUGCCUAAUUUGUAAAUUUGAAGUUCUCUCUCAAGUUUAGACAUAACUGUUAUAAUUUAAAGCUUGCUCUAGAUCUAAACUUGUGGGAUGAAAACUUGAUCUGAAAUCUAAGUUGUUAACGGAUAUGAUAUGGGAAGGUUGAACUGCUGUUUAUCUGUUCCUAGAGAUGCUAGAAUUUUGGAGAAUUUUAUCUUUAAAAAUCUUUAAAAUGUUGCAUGAUGAGUUCCUGUAUGAUGAGAGUUUAAAAUCCUACCACAGCCACAUAUACAUGCUUAUUAGACUAUGAACCAUACAUUUACUUUUUACUGCUUAUGAGCAUUGAGUGUAGUCAAGCUGUGUAGACCCUUAGGAGCUUGUCAUGCGGUUAAAAUCAAGAUUCACUUGCACGUUCACUCAUAUAUGCUGCUUCUACUCCAGAAGUACGCAUCCACAUACAUCCACUCCUUUCCAUCUCGAGAUUCACCCAAAAUUAUUCUACUCCUAUCCGGGAGAGAAUAGCCAAAAACAUUAUCCCAUUCCUGUUUUUCCUUGUGAAAUAAAUGCUCAAGCUAUUUUGGUUACUACCACUUGCUACAUUAUUCCAGAAGGGUGAGUGCUCUGAAAAAAAAAGAAAAACACGAGGAAAUAAAAAUGGGCAAGUGCCCGGAACCUCGAAAGAAAAAAGAAAAAGUGACACGAGAGGUAAAAAUGGACAAGUGUCUGACAGUAGAAUUAGGGGUACAAGAUACCCACCCGAAAGAAAAGAAAAAUAAAAUAUAGAGCAUCUCAUUCUCCUCAAAAAGCUUUAAAGUGCAAGAAAGAUAUGUAUCCUCUCAAAAGAGCAAAAGUAGAAUUAGACUUUCACCAUUGUUUUCACCAUUAUCACUAUCAUCACCAUACACCAUUCAUUCGCCACACAUGCACAUCUUGAUUUAACUUAUUGACUUGUUUCUCUGGAUCCAUGGUUUGUCUAUGCAAUAAAUGUCUUGUAAGUAUGUAUUAGCUGUCUCCCACCUAUGAGCUCCAGAUAUCAAAACCUUAUUAGAGUAGGGUGAGAGAGAAGGCAAUGUCACUAUGCCUCAUACCACAAAUACCACAUACUUUGAGAGAAGGCAUAUACCAUCACUGCCUUGGUAAGGAUUCAGAAAUACCACAAAAGAGAGAAUUGAGAGAGUCAUACAAGGAAUCUCUGAGUUUUAUUUGAAAAUCUGUAAAAACUCCAGAGCUAUAGUUGAUCAAAGAACAAGAGACAUGGUGCUUGACUUGACCGUUCUAUCUUUUAACUGCUCAAGACACAAGUGACGGUUGCAAGCCCCAUGGUGAAAGGUAAUAUGAGUAAGUUUUAAAUCUUAACAACUUACCUUAACCUAGAGAUGAGAUCUUGUUUGAAUGCAUGAGUACCUUUAAGGCAUAAAACCACUGCAAAAACUCUUGAGUCCAUCCUUGCUCAGGGACGAGCAAGAGGUAAGCUUGGGGGAGUUGUUGACGGUCCUUAAGUACCAAAUAUAAUCAUCAAAUAAACAAAGAAAAGGAUUCAAAUGAAAUCAAAAUCUAGACUUAGGUUUUUAUCUGACAGAAUUCUAUGAGUUUUGGUGUUUGUCUAUUUUUGCAGGGGGUUAUUAGGAAAUACGGAAGAAAGGCCCGCACGUCGGGAUUACAUAGAGAUAUUAACGUGUCGCGCAAUUAUCUUACAUCUAGAAGACUCCAGCCGAACGGGGCCAGAGGCAGGGUGCCCGCCCUCCUGCCCUGGGCGCCCGCCUUGACUUAGAGCCCAAUCAGGACUCUUUCUCUCCGGAGAUCUCCACCGACCUAAAGGAUCAAGAAUAACCGUUCAAUCAAUGUCGGUUUGAUCCGACGGCCCAGGUUCACUUGAGGGGACUAUAUAACCAGACCCCCUAGCCCCUGGAGGAGGCAACCCCUUGAUCAUUAUUCAUUAUUCGUAGACAGAGCAAAAGCUAGGGUUUAGAGAUGAGAGCUCUCCUCUCUUCUCUAAACUAGAGUAGAUCUAGAUAGUAGCGAGAUGGAGAGCGAAGGAGGAUUAGAGGAGAGGCCGGCCUGUCGGUUCUUCCUCCGGUUGUACUUCGUCAUGAUCAAGCUCUAAUCAAGCCUGCUCAUGGGAUGACUCUGGUAAUCUACUUUUAAUUCAUUAUGCAAUUACUAAUCAUGUAUGUUCUAGUUCACAACUCUUUUGAGUACUUCUAAUCUAUAGGACGCUAUAGGUUAGAGUUGUAGUAUAAUUAUAAGCGUGGUGCUUACACCUAGAUUACUUGUGGAUAUCCCCUGUCUAGCUGGAUCGUGUGGUAGGCCGCGUAGGUGACAAUUACGUUGGUCCUCUGUAGUCCACCUCUCGUUAGCAGGACGGGUAGGGUUUAUCGGCCUAAGGAUAAGCAUCCUUUGUGGUGUACUCUUAUCACGUGGUUCGUCCCAGACAUAGACAUACCCCUUUGAAGUAGAGAAACCAUAGUUAUCCUCUCUAUUCUGCAACCAUCGCCCAUAUACUAGAAUUGCUCUACUCUCUAUUCCCAUAUUAUCACCUAUUGUUAUCUUACCUUUAAUAUUAUUCUUAUUCAAUUCUACCAUCUUUCCUAUUUCCACCUAUCUAUCUAUCUUGGUUAAGUUAGAGCGUAGUUGAUUCUCCCGUUUCCCUGUGGAUACGAUAAAACCUUUAACCGGAUAAAAGCUUCAACGGUAUCCGUGCGCUUGCGGAUUAUCUGUGUGCGUAUAAAUACCAUAGCACACUCUAGUGCCAUGCUGGGGAUGACAACCUAGUAUUCAAGUGGUGUUAGCAAGUGUCAACAGCUACUACUGACCUUCUGAAGGUCAAGAGAGGCGAUCCAGGAUGCCCCGUCAUCCCGAUCUCCAUCGGCAUGGUGGACUUCCCAGAAGCACUCUGUGACUUUGGCUCUAGUGUCAACAUUGUGCCGAGGGUACUCUAUUAAAAAUUCUUUACAUAUCCUUUAUUAAAACAACCAUGUGUUUGCAGUUUGCAGAUGAGACGAUCAGUUUUCCAAAAGGAAUAUUGAGGAACCUUUGCGUCCGAGUUGGUACCUUAUACGCCCUAGCAGACUUCGUGGUGAUAGAGACCGAUAAUGAUGAGAGGGCACCCAUCAUCUUAGGGAGGCCAUUCUUGAACACCUCGGGAGCUGUCAUCUACGCUAGUGCUGCCAAGAUCAGUUUCUACAUCGAAGGGAGGAAGGAGACAUUUUCCUUCAAGAACAAGACUACACAAAUCCCAGAUCAAUCCAGACGUGAAUCAAGGAAGAGGACCAACAGGAGGAAUAGGAACAAGCAAGUGUGGACCGAGUCAGCUAAGAUGGUCACUGCAGUUCAAGGAGGUCAAGAUCAUCAACUUAAGUCACCAUUUUUUACCAAGAAGGAUGACCCUGGAAUGCCAAGAAUCUAUUGCUCCAUAAAUGGAUACAACUUCUACAAGACGACUUGCGACACCGGAUCGGGCGUCAACAUAACGGCCGCAGUCACCUAUCGGCUCUUGUUCGGAAACAUGCCCUUAAAACCAAUAUACAUUCAGCUCCAGAUGGCAGAUCAAACAUUUCGAGAGGUUAAAGGUAUAGUAACUGAUGUCCGUAUCAAAAUAGACGAUCAUUUUGUCUACACAGACUUUCAGGUCAUUGACAUGGGAGAAGACGAGUACGAUCCACCCAUCAUCCUUGGAAGACCGUUCCUCAGCACCGUUAAAGCAAUCAUCUACAUUGGAACCGGAGAAGUCCAUAUGCACUUCCCCUUAGAAAAGGUACGCCGAUAUUUUACUGACCCUAACUAUAUCGUUGAAGACUCUAAGCAGGUCAGGACAAGAAAACGACGCAACUGCAACCAGAGGAGGGAAAUCAUCAAGGACGGAUGGGCAGACUAUGAAGGAGAAGUGAUAAGGUCAGAAGACAUACAGUUUAAACAGAAUUAUCCAGAGGAGACUGUAGCACCGAGUCAGGAAUGGAAAGAGAAGAUAACUAUACAUGAAGAGGAUGCGCUGCCGGAAGUACCGACUCCGCCACCCAACGAAUCCCAGGACAACUGAGAAAACAGAGAGUCCCGUUCGGAGGACUUAAAAACACCGAACGCCUUGCCAAGAGGUAAACUUGGUAGUUAUCCUUUCCCUUUCAAUUAUUUUAAACAGUUGAGUCAAUCAUGUUUAUACUAUCCUAAAAAGAAAAUAAAAAUGUUAAAAAACAGUAAGCCCCAUGCGAGUAUACGAGUGGCAUAAAACCCAUAAGUACAAUCACUGUGGUGGCAUAAAAAUAAAAUAAAUAUUUCUUUUUCUGCUUUAUAAAAUGAAAAUAUAAAAAUAGGGAGUAAUAGUUAUUGAGGAGGCUCAAUAUGAUGAAGGCUAAAUAUUUAUGCUAACACUUAAUCAGUUCCACAAAGCUUUCUUGUCUCUUUGAGCUCCAUAGAAUUUAAGAAUCAAGAAGACUAGUAGACGGAGGUCAUUCUAAUCGCUGUCAAAAUACUGCCGACUUUCAAAUACACCUCUGCCACCUGCUAGCUACAUCAAAAGAAAUUACGUCAAAAUUCAGCUUGGGGGAGAGCACCCCCAUUUAUCCCGCUAAGUAUUUCUAUCUAUCUUUAUACUUAUACUAUAUUAAAAUAUAGAUAUACAUAACUAUGGAAAACCAAAUAAAGAUUUUGUGCUUAUAUAUAUCUUUUGCUUAGUGUGUUUAAUAAAUAAAUAAAGUGGCUAUGCUAAACUGAAUCUUAAUAAUAAAACUCUAGCAUGGAUAUGAUGAAUAGUUGCUCUGCCUAAUUUUCAAAAUUGAAGUUCUCUCUCAAGUUUAGACAUAACUGUUAUAAUUUAAAGCUUGCUCUAAACCUAAACUUGUGGAAAGAAAACUUGAUCUGAAGUCUAAGUUGUUAAUAGAUAUGAUAUGGGAAGGUUGAGCUGCCGUUUAUCUGUUCCUAGAGAUGCUGGAAUUCUGGAGAAUUUUAUCUUUGAAAAAUCUUUAAAAUAUGGCAUGAUGAGUUCCUGUAUGAUGAGAGUUUGAAUUCCUACCACAGCCAUAUAUACAAGCUUGCUAGACUUUGAGCAACACAUUUACUUUUUACUGUUUAUGAGCAUUGAGUGUGGUCAAGCUGUGCAGACCCUUAGGAGCUUGUCAUGUGGUUAAAUCAAGAUUCACUUGCACGUUCACUGAUACAUGCUGCUUCUAUUCCGGAAGUAUGCAUCCACAUAUAUCCACCCAUUUCCAUCUCCAGAACCACCCCAAAAAUAUUCUACUCCUAAUCCGGGAGAGAAUAGCCAAAAAUAUUUAUAUUUUCCCCUAUGAAAUAAAUGCUCGAGUUAUCUUGUUACUACCACUUGCUAUAUUAUUUCAAGAAAUGAGUGCUCUAAAAAAAAGAAGAAUAAAAGAUACGAGGAAAUAAAAAGGGGCAAGUGCUCGGAACCUCGAAAGAAAAGAAAAAGUGAGACGAGAGGUAAAAAUGGACAAGUGUCCGACAGUAGAAUUAGGGGUACAAGAUACCCACCUGAGAGAAAAUGAAAUAUAGAGCAUUUCAUUCUCCUCAAAAUGUUUCAAACAGCAAGAAAGGUAUGUAUCCUCUCAAAGAGCAAAAGAUUUAGACUUUCACCAUUGUUAUCACCAUCAUCACCAUAUACCAUUCAUUCGCCACACAUGCACAUCUUGAUUGGACUUAUUGAUUUGUUUCUUUGGAUCCAUGGUUUGACUAUACAAUAAAUGUCUUGUGAGUAUGUAUACUUUAUCUCCCACCUAUGAGCUCCAGAUAUUAAAGCCUUAUUAGAGUAGGAUGAGAGAGAAGGCAAUGUCACUAUGCCUUAU